Apteryx haastii (Great spotted kiwi) is the source of this 1297-nucleotide long non-coding RNA. NCBI's taxonomy places the organism in Eukaryota, Metazoa, Chordata, Aves, Apterygiformes, Apterygidae. The record is from Ensembl.
GGGCCAGGCCGCCUGAGCCGCGCGGCUGAACGCGGAAGAGGCGGCGGCGCGGGGGCUGCUCGCGGCGCGGCCUCCCCGCCGCUUCCCUCCGCAGCGCUUCGCCCCCAAAAACACGCCUAGUUCAGUCCCUCGGGUUGCGCAGCUGGUCCCUAUUCCGUAUGCYCCGCAGUCUAGGCUUGGGGAGUGGGGUUGGUUCCUCGGGUCCGGCUCCCUUAAGUAGUGAGGACAGCAGCAGUAGCAGUGACUGGCUUGGUGGGGCAGCGUGGCGCUGCCAGGCUCUGUGCCUGCUGCUCCCUUGCUCCUUCCUACGAAGAAGCGCUGCUGUGUGCCCCUAGCUGUAUCCUUGUCUUCCAGAUACUGACCUAUAAAGGAGUUCAGAUUUAGCUGAAUUGCAGUACUUUGAAAUAUUUUAUUAUGGGGCAAUAUCAUUAAUUUUUGUCUUGUAGUGCUUCAGUACCUUGGUCACCAGUUUCAUCCCAAACUGUGCAAAAGCAGGCUGCAAUUACAGUGCUUCAUUCUGUGGGAGUACUGUCAUUUUCCUGCUGAGAGCAAUUUGGUUAAUGUCAUCUUUGGUUUUACCUGCAUGUUGGUGAAACCAUUUGUCCUUAACAUGUACAAGUAUUUCACUUGUGGCUCGUAAAUGGAUAUAUUUCCCUGGAUUUGGGCCUGGAUUCAGGCCACAGCUCUUCUUUUGUAUUCUCAACAAAAAUACUAUUUAAGCUUUUUGUGCUACUUAAAUACUAUUUUGAAUUAUAUUCAAGUGGCAUCUUCCUUUUAUUAUCAUUGGACAAUGCAAGAUCAUAGGUCUUCUCUCCAAAGGAGGAGCUAGGGUAUUCACCUGCUCAGUAGUAAUGCAUCCCUCUACAGGUGUUUUUACCUCUUCAAGGUUUUGAUUCUGUUGCCACAACAAGCCAGUAUGUUAGUGAAUGAAGAAGGUAACCUGGAGAUUUAAAAAAAUGAGUACAACUCCAAAAGGAGACACUGGAGAAGGACCAAACUGGGCUUGUAAGAGAGACUGCCUACUGGGAACUCUAAUAACACUUGUCUUUCUGCAUCAGAUUGGUACAUCCCUUGCACUGCUCAGCGGCUCCCACAGGAGUUCCUCCUGUCAUGUUGGACUGCAGUGUCCAUUUCUUAUAAGCUGGCCUCAGAUAUUGAUGUUAAGAUGUUUAAGUAAUUUUGUAUCUGAAACAAGAAGACUGUGUUCUAUUAGUGUUCUUUUGUUCAGGGCUCAUAUGUAUUGACAGUAUAGAGGCUUGUUAAUAAAUAUGCACCUGAAUGGUUCGUUUGAAAUUAU